This is an unclassified non-coding RNA of Callithrix jacchus (white-tufted-ear marmoset), 148 nucleotides long. It matches the Rfam family "Metazoan signal recognition particle RNA". From Rfam's summary of the family: The signal recognition particle (SRP) is a universally conserved ribonucleoprotein. It is involved in the co-translational targeting of proteins to membranes. The record is from Ensembl. NCBI's taxonomy places the organism in Eukaryota, Metazoa, Chordata, Mammalia, Primates, Cebidae.
GCCAGGCAUGGUGGCGCGUGCCUGUAAUCCCAGCUAUUUGGGAGGCUGAGACAGGAGAAUUGCUUGAACCCGGGAGGCGGAGGUUGCAGUGAGCUGAGAUAGUGCCACUGCACUCCAGCCUGGGCAGCAGAGCAAGACUCUGUCUCAA